RNAcentral lists this ribosomal RNA (794 nucleotides) under Cyanea tzetlinii. RNAcentral describes it as "eukaryotic LSU rRNA". The stretch from base 313 to 466 matches the Rfam family "5.8S ribosomal RNA". Lineage: Eukaryota; Metazoa; Cnidaria; Scyphozoa; Semaeostomeae; Cyaneidae. The record is from RNAcentral.
CGAAUACGCGUACACUGCCGAGUCGCAAGGCGAAGCAGACGUACCAAGUAGUACAUGCUGCCUAUGUAUGUAUCUACAUUCACUGUGAACUUGUACUGAUCUGUGUGAGGUGGACAGAGACGGGGAGCAAGGCGCAAUGCUUGCCUCUCUGUCGUCUGUGCUCAAAUGGCAGGCGUUUCCUGCCGGCCUCACAUGGAGCUUUUUCGUGUCUCGAAUAUACUUUACAACUUUCUUCCUGACUUUGCUGCUGCGAGACCGACUCACUUAGCUGAGAGCUGGUCGAGCAAACUAGCAAAAAACCAAACAUGAGACAACUUCUAACGGUGGAUCUCUUGGCUCGUGCAUCGAUGAAGAACGCAGCCAGCUGCGAUAAGUAGUGUGAAUUGCAGAACUCAGUGAAUCAUCGAAUCUUUGAACGCAAAUGGCGCUCUCUGGUUCUCCAGGGAGCAUGUCUGUCUGAGCGUCAUGACACAAUCCACGUACACUCGCUCUCGCUCACUCGUCGUCGUCGGUCUUCAAUGGCUGGCUGGCGUGCGUGUGUGCGCUGCUGCUUGUACGGCGUUGAGGCUUCGUGCACUGUUGCUGCCCGUGUGGCGGUGGGUGCGCGUGUCUUUAAGUAAAGCAAGACUUGCACAGCAUCGGCUGGCUGGCUACUGAGUAGCUUGCAUCCGAGAGCAGCAAAAAAGUUUCAUCUUUCUUCUGCUUCUCGACCGUGAGCUGCACAUUCAGUAGUCAAUUGCGGAACCCUACUCUGCCUAACCGUAGAGUAUUGAAUUUUGACCUCAGAUCAGGCA